Molecule: ribosomal RNA, 561 nt
Filed under: Saccharomyces cerevisiae (brewer's yeast)
Lineage: Eukaryota; Fungi; Ascomycota; Saccharomycetes; Saccharomycetales; Saccharomycetaceae
Description: eukaryotic LSU rRNA
Rfam family: Eukaryotic large subunit ribosomal RNA
Source: RNAcentral
ACGGCGAGUGAAGCGGCAAAAGCUCAAAUUUGAAAUCUGGUACCUUCGGUGCCCGAGUUGUAAUUUGGAGAGGGCAACUUUGGGGCCGUUCCUUGUCUAUGUUCCUUGGAACAGGACGUCAUAGAGGGUGAGAAUCCCGUGUGGCGAGGAGUGCGGUUCUUUGUAAAGUGCCUUCGAAGAGUCGAGUUGUUUGGGAAUGCAGCUCUAAGUGGGUGGUAAAUUCCAUCUAAAGCUAAAUAUUGGCGAGAGACCGAUAGCGAACAAGUACAGUGAUGGAAAGAUGAAAAGAACUUUGAAAAGAGAGUGAAAAAGUACGUGAAAUUGUUGAAAGGGAAGGGCAUUUGAUCAGACAUGGUGUUUUGUGCCCUCUGCUCCUUGUGGGUAGGGGAAUCUCGCAUUUCACUGGGCCAGCAUCAGUUUUGGUGGCAGGAUAAAUCCAUAGGAAUGUAGCUUGCCUCGGUAAGUAUUAUAGCCUGUGGGAAUACUGCCAGCUGGGACUGAGGACUGCGACGUAAGUCAAGGAUGCUGGCAUAAUGGUUAUAUGCCGCCCGUCUUGAAACA